UGGGGAAUAUUGCACAAUGGGCGCAAGCCUGAUGCAGCCAUGCCGCGUGUAUGAAGAAGGCCUUCGGGUUGUAAAGUACUUUCAGUCGGGAGGAAGGUGGUAAGGUUAAUAACCUUAUCAAUUGACGUUACCGACAGAAGAAGCACCGGCUAACUCCGUGCCAGCAGCCGCGGUAAUACGGAGGGUGCAAGCGUUAAUCGGAAUUACUGGGCGUAAAGCGCACGCAGGCGGUCUGUCAAGUCGGAUGUGAAAUCCCCGGGCUUAACCUGGGAACUGCAUUCGAAACUGGCAGGCUAGAGUCUUGUAGAGGGGGGUAGAAUUCCAGGUGUAGCGGUGAAAUGCGUAGAGAUCUGGAGGAAUACCGGUGGCGAAGGCGGCCCCCUGGACAAAGACUGACGCUCAGGUGCGAAAGCGUGGGGAGUAAACAGG
Molecule: ribosomal RNA, 429 nt
Filed under: Chloroflexota bacterium
Lineage: Bacteria; Bacillati; Chloroflexota
Description: Chloroflexi bacterium partial 16S ribosomal RNA
Rfam family: Bacterial small subunit ribosomal RNA
Source: RNAcentral